AGGAUUUUAAGUUAUUUAAAACUAAAAGCCUUCAAAGCUUUAAAAAAAAGGUACUCUUUUAAAUCCUA
This 68-nucleotide transfer RNA is filed under the name Rhithropanopeus harrisii. RNAcentral's name for it is "tRNA-Trp". The record is from RNAcentral. Lineage: Eukaryota; Metazoa; Arthropoda; Malacostraca; Decapoda; Panopeidae.